This 263-nucleotide unclassified non-coding RNA is filed under the name Hevea brasiliensis (rubber tree). The record is from RNAcentral. Lineage: Eukaryota; Viridiplantae; Streptophyta; Magnoliopsida; Malpighiales; Euphorbiaceae.
UCACAGCAGUGUCCCUCCACUUUAAAAAAAGUGAAAUCUGUGCCAAUUACAUGGAUUCCUAGAAACUGCCAGGGCUCUAAUCGCUCAAGAGUAUUACUUGUUCCUUGAGGCAGUCACUUCAAUUGAGCAUGUCCCAGAUGCAUUAAGGCAUAGACUUUGCCAAUUGCUCUGUGAUUGUCAGAGAAUGAAUAGUCAUUUUUUGGAACUUCUUGUACAUGGAUCUCCUACAGAGAUACGCAUUAAGGAUUGUUCAUGGCUGACAG